Molecule: long non-coding RNA, 1310 nt
Organism: Xenopus laevis (African clawed frog)
Lineage: Eukaryota; Metazoa; Chordata; Amphibia; Anura; Pipidae
Exons: 3
Source: RefSeq, a predicted model, not a curated record
AAGAUCUCAGCUGAGAGUGCCACGGGAGUUCAUCUACCUCAAGGUGUUCUAUUUAAUACAGACAACAAGAGGAGGACAAGGAGGACGACUGAGGUCAUAAUGACCACAGAACAAAAAACCAGUCCUGUGUUGGAACAGCCAAUGAAGUGAUGGAUCUGAAGAGGGAUGACAAAAAGGACGGAAGAAAUGAGGAAGAGGACAUAAUCUGUCAAGCAGGAGCCCUGGAACUGCUAAAAUGACCUUCCCAUCUUCCUGCUAGAGAUUACAAGGAGCCUGGAGAGAGAGAACCAAAUCUAAUACAGACAAAAUAUCAGGGCUGGAGGAGUAUCAAGGUCAGGAACAGGCACAAAAUACUUCACAGAAGGCUUAUGUACGGUCUGAGGAAUCAGAGCUUGCUUGGGCAAUGAAACACAACUGGCAGCACAGGUUUUUUUUUACUAUGUGCAUAUAUUUAGUCAAUCAUGACUAUUCUUGCUGCUAAAUGACUUCUUAAAUAACCACAGUCGGGUGGGCAGAAAGAAACAUUAAUCUGCAAAAAACAUAAUUUCAUUGACCCCUAAGCAUGUAGACAAUACUAUUAAAUGGACAAAAUAGCACAGACCCAUUGACACCCCACCUUGUUGCUGGUAAGGUUAGGCUCCAUCACAUCCACAAUAAUUGCCAAAUGUGUGUGGCCAUGAAUCGUAUUGAACAUGUCUCCAUUAUUUUAGGAAUGGCAAAGAGUCAGUUGAGUGUUAAAAAAGUUUUACAUGCUUCUGUUAAUCAUAAAGGGUAUGACUCAUUAGAGCACAAUACCACUAUUAUAGUUAUAUCAUAACAAUACUAAACAGAAGGUUGUGCAAAGAUGAGCAUCUUUGCAGAUUCAUCUAAAGUUGUUUUACAGAAAUUCAAGUUUGCAUUGUAAUAGUGAAUGACGUUUUAAUGAACUAACAAUGGGAAAUGCUAUUUAUGCAUAUUUCACCGUUUACGACUUUUAUUACAUUUCCCUGCAAGUCUUAUUACGGAAUAUAACAGUGUACAGUGUCAUGACUUAUAACAAUCAGCUACCAAUGAGCUGUGAUUGAUCAGGCAACAUUAGACUAAUGCAAGCCAGUACCUGACGGGAUGGCAUCAAAAAGUUAGUGAAUAACACCCAGUUUAACAAUAGCAUUUAUCCUGUCAUUAUAUUUUAUAUUUAAAAAAGGGCUUAUUUGACAAUGUUCCUGAUCCAGCUGCAAAACAAUUAAGGGGCAAAAACAUUGAACUGUACACUGUAACAUAAGGGGGUUAUAUAAUAAACUCUGAAUGCAAAAAUCCCCAAAAAAUCCGGA